Molecule: long non-coding RNA, 325 nt
Filed under: Nicotiana benthamiana
Lineage: Eukaryota; Viridiplantae; Streptophyta; Magnoliopsida; Solanales; Solanaceae
Description: long non-coding RNA (NBEN_LNC030529)
Source: RNAcentral
AGGGCGCGAUUGCCAGUGUGGGCGACGCAAUGGCCUUCGUGUACUUCUUCGAGCACCGAUCUUGUUUGCUGCGGCCCUAAGCACUUGGCUAAUGGGCCACCGAACGUCCUUUUAUAAAGAUCGCCAUUGACCAUGCAGUACCGGGCGGCCUGUAUGAGAAGCUUCUUCGCUUCUUUUUUAUCGGGGGGUAAUACCUCGUCCUGCAAAUAAGAUAUGAACUGGUUGCGCCAGUCCCAAGUCAGGCUUAGGGAAAGUACCUCGGUGUGGUCGAUAGCCGAGCGGAGGAGUGUGACCACACUUUCUUUGUUGAUAUGUUUGGUGGCGG